GGGUGUGUAGCUCAGUGGUAGAGUGCGUGCGUAGCAUGCACAAAGUCCUGGGUUCAAUUUCCGGUACCUCCA
Camelus ferus (Wild Bactrian camel) is the source of this 72-nucleotide transfer RNA. It matches the Rfam family "tRNA". Rfam says of the family: Transfer RNA (tRNA) molecules are approximately 80 nucleotides in length. Their secondary structure includes four short double-helical elements and three loops (D, anti-codon, and T loops). The record is from Rfam. NCBI's taxonomy places the organism in Eukaryota, Metazoa, Chordata, Mammalia, Artiodactyla, Camelidae.